AGGUUAAGCUACAAAGAGCACACGGAGGAUGCCUAGGCGCCAGGAGCCGACGAAGGACGUGGCGAACAACGAUAAAGCCUCGGGGAGCUGUAAGCAAGCUUUGAUCCGGGGAUGUCCGAAUGGGGAAACCCGGCUGUCUUCAUCGACAGUCACUACUCACUGAAU
Molecule: ribosomal RNA, 165 nt
Filed under: Paenibacillus polymyxa
Lineage: Bacteria; Bacillati; Bacillota; Bacilli; Caryophanales; Paenibacillaceae
Description: partial 23S ribosomal RNA
Rfam family: Bacterial large subunit ribosomal RNA
Source: RNAcentral